CUUUUUUUCUUUUCCUCAGACACUAAACAAGAUGUGCAAGGCCGCCUGCCAUUCAUUUUCCAGGUUGUGCUGAAAGCUACUUGGCUGAACUGCAGUCGACACACCUUUAGAAUCAAAGCAGAUCUGAAAGAUGAUCUGAGGAUGUUAUCAGCUGAUAAGUCUUGCUUUUUGUGCUGGACGAGAACGGGACCAAAAAGAUCCUCCAAGGAUACUUGCUGCAGGACUGCAUGUUUG
Nerophis ophidion (straightnose pipefish) is the source of this 234-nucleotide long non-coding RNA. RefSeq lists it as uncharacterized. The record is from RefSeq and is a predicted model, not a curated record. The transcript has 3 exons. Lineage: Eukaryota; Metazoa; Chordata; Actinopteri; Syngnathiformes; Syngnathidae.